GCAAACUUGGUCAUUUAGAGGAAGUAAAAGUCGUAACAAGGUUUCCGUAGGUGAACCUGCGGAAGGAUCAUUACAGAAAUUAUAACAAAGCACGCGGCUUCGCGUCUUUGUAUAAAAUCUAUCCUACCCCUUUGUGAACCACCGCGCGGAGCUAGUAAAGGUUUAGGCCUUGAAAGUUCGCGAUAAUCUAUAUACCCCCACGAUUAAGUCUCAGAAUGUACUCUUGCAUAUAUAUCGCAAUAAAAAUACAACUUUCAGCAACGGAUCUCUUGGCUCUCGCAUCGAUGAAGAACGCAGC
RNAcentral lists this unclassified non-coding RNA (298 nucleotides) under uncultured fungus. RNAcentral describes it as "partial contains small subunit ribosomal RNA, internal transcribed spacer 1, and 5.8S ribosomal RNA". The stretch from base 1 to 73 matches the Rfam family "Eukaryotic small subunit ribosomal RNA", at positions 1759 to 1831 of the family's 1831-position model. Lineage: Eukaryota; Fungi. The record is from RNAcentral.